Small nuclear RNA from Callithrix jacchus (white-tufted-ear marmoset), 164 nucleotides. Its record names the gene U1. It matches the Rfam family "U1 spliceosomal RNA". From Rfam's summary of the family: U1 is a small nuclear RNA (snRNA) component of the spliceosome (involved in pre-mRNA splicing). Its 5' end forms complementary base pairs with the 5' splice junction, thus defining the 5' donor site of an intron. There are significant differences in sequence and secondary structure between metazoan and yeast U1 snRNAs, the latter being much longer (568 nucleotides as compared to 164 nucleotides in human). The record is from Ensembl. Lineage: Eukaryota; Metazoa; Chordata; Mammalia; Primates; Cebidae.
CUACUUACCUGGCAGGGGAGAUACCAUGAUCAUGAAGGUGAUUUUCCCAGGGCAAGGCUUAUCCAUUGCACCCCAGAUGUGCUGACCCCUGCGAUUUCCCCAAAUGUGGGAAACUCGACUGCAUAAUUUGUGGUAGUGGGGGACUGCAUUCGCGCUUUCCCCUG